Molecule: non-coding RNA, 136 nt
Organism: Triticum aestivum (bread wheat)
Lineage: Eukaryota; Viridiplantae; Streptophyta; Magnoliopsida; Poales; Poaceae
Source: Rfam
UGUGUACUCUCUCCGUUCCAAAAUACUUGAUUUCUAUUUGUCCAAAAUUGGAUGUACCUAUAUACUAAAACAUGUCUAGAUACAUCUAUAUUUUGACAAAUAGAAGGCAUGUAUUGUGGAACGGAGGGAGUAGAAU